This is a small nucleolar RNA of Suncus etruscus (white-toothed pygmy shrew), 184 nucleotides long. RefSeq annotates it as small nucleolar RNA SNORA73 family. The transcript has a single exon. Lineage: Eukaryota; Metazoa; Chordata; Mammalia; Eulipotyphla; Soricidae. The record is from RefSeq and is a predicted model, not a curated record.
UCAAUGUGGAUAUCCUGGAAGGUCAUUCCUCAGGCACUGUACAGGUGGCACAGAGGAGCCUUGAUGUAGUCUCUUUCCAUAUCAUUGGAGAUCAAGCUGAAUCUUGAGUCUGUGCCUGCAUAUUCCUACAACUUUUCAGUCAUCUGUACUGUGACUGAGGAGACAAACCAUGCAGGAAACAAUA